CCUACGGGAGGCAGCAGUGAGGAAUAUUGGUCAAUGGGCGCGAGCCUGAACCAGCCAAGUCGCGUGAGGGCAGACGGUCCUAUGGAUUGUCCCCCUCUUUUGUCGGGGAGCAAAAGACGCCACGCGUGGCGUUCCGAGAGUACCCGAAGAAAAAGCAUCGGCUAACUCCGUGCCAGCAGCCGCGGUAAUACGGAGGAUGCGCGCGUUAUCCGGAUUUCUUGGGUUUAAAGGGUGCGCAGGCGGAAGCUCCCGUCAGCGGUAAAAUUGAGAGGCUCCCCCUCUUCGCGCCGUUGCCCAUGGUUUUCUUGAGUGAGCGAGAAGUAUGCGGAAUGCGUGGUGUAGCGGUGAAAUGCAUAGAUAUCACGCAGAACUCCGAUUGCGAAGGCAGCAUACCGGCGCUCAACUGACGCUCAUGCACGAAAGUGUGGGUAUCGAACAGGAUUAGAUACCCGGGUAGUC
RNAcentral lists this ribosomal RNA (459 nucleotides) under uncultured bacterium. RNAcentral describes it as "partial 16S ribosomal RNA". It matches the Rfam family "Bacterial small subunit ribosomal RNA", at positions 338 to 795 of the family's 1533-position model. The record is from RNAcentral.